Molecule: ribosomal RNA, 440 nt
Filed under: Salmonella enterica subsp. enterica serovar Enteritidis
Lineage: Bacteria; Pseudomonadati; Pseudomonadota; Gammaproteobacteria; Enterobacterales; Enterobacteriaceae
Description: bacterial LSU rRNA
Rfam family: Bacterial large subunit ribosomal RNA
Source: RNAcentral
UGCUAACGUCCGUCGUGAAGAGGGAAACAACCCAGACCGCCAGCUAAGGUCCCAAAGUCAUGGUUAAGUGGGAAACGAUGUGGGAAGGCCCAGACAGCCAGGAUGUUGGCUUAGAAGCAGCCAUCAUUUAAAGAAAGCGUAAUAGCUCACUGGUCGAGUCGGCCUGCGCGGAAGAUGUAACGGGGCUAAACCAUGCACCGAAGCUGCGGCAGCGACGCUUAUGCGUUGUUGGGUAGGGGAGCGUUCUGUAAGCCUGCGAAGGUGGCCUGUGAGGGUUGCUGGAGGUAUCAGAAGUGCGAAUGCUGACAUAAGUAACGAUAAAGCGGGUGAAAAGCCCGCUCGCCGGAAGACCAAGGGUUCCUGUCCAACGUUAAUCGGGGCAGGGUGAGUCGACCCCUAAGGCGAGGCCGAAAGGCGUAGUCGAUGGGAAACGGGUUAAU